RNAcentral lists this long non-coding RNA (571 nucleotides) under Homo sapiens (human). RNAcentral's name for it is "non-protein coding lnc-SLC39A3-3:1". The record is from RNAcentral. Lineage: Eukaryota; Metazoa; Chordata; Mammalia; Primates; Hominidae.
GCGGUGCGCAAGCGCAACCGUCGGUGGGUCGGGGAUCGGUCGCCUGAGAGAUGACGUCUUGCUUUGUCACCCAGACUGGCGUGCAGUGGUGCGAUCUCAGCUCAGUGCAGUCUCCACCUCCCAGGUUCAAGCAACUCUCCUGCCUCAGCCUCCCGAGUAGCUGGGAUUACAGGCACCCGCCACCACACCCGGCUAAUUUUUGUAUUUUUAGUAGAAGCCAGGCUGGUCAGGAACUCCAGACCACUUCAGCCUCCCAAAGUGCUGGGAUUAUAGGCCUGAGCCACCGCUCCUGGCCCAGGUCUUGUUUCUGCUGCUUGCUGUUGCCUCUUCCAAAUCUGAGGUCACCAAGUGAGGUGUGUCUGCCUGGGGAUCCUGACCUGAUGCCGCCUGUUACAGAAUCAUUUCCAAUGAAACCUCUGAAGAGAUGUCGGCACCAUUCUCAGCUAAAGACACCUGGUUGGGUGUGACCCUCAUCUCAAAGACCCCAGACUUUGAAGAGAAACUCUUUUCUUGAGGCAGGGUCUCACUCUCUUUCCCAGGCUGGAGUGCAUUGGUGUGAUCACAGCUCACU